This 1461-nucleotide ribosomal RNA is filed under the name Candidatus Mycoplasma haematohominis. RNAcentral's name for it is "bacterial SSU rRNA". It matches the Rfam family "Bacterial small subunit ribosomal RNA". The record is from RNAcentral. Lineage: Bacteria; Bacillati; Mycoplasmatota; Mollicutes; Mycoplasmatales; Mycoplasmataceae.
ACUGAGAGUUUGAUCCUAGCUCAGAAUUAACGCUGAUGGCAUGCCUAAUACAUGCAAGUCGAGCGGACUCGCAAGAGUUAGCGGCGAACGGGUGAGUAAUACAUAUUUAACAUACCCCCCAAAAGUGCAUAGCUACCCGAAAGGGUAAUUAAUACACUAUAGGAGGCUCCGACACAAGUCGGAGUCUUUAAAGGCCUUGGCCGAUGAGGGAUUGGAAUAUGCUCUAUUAGCUUGUUGGCGGGAUAAAAGCCCACCAAGGCAAUGAUAGAUAGCUGGUCUAAGAGGAUGAACAGCCACAAUGGGAUUGAGAUACGGCCCAUAUUCCUACGGGAAGCAGCAGUAGGGAAUCUUCCACAAUGGGCGAAAGCCUGAUGGAGCGAUGCCAUGUGAACGAUGAAGGUCUUUUUGAUUGUAAAGUUCUUUUAUAGGAGAAAAUAAUGAUUGUAUCCUAUGAAUAAGUGACAGCAAACUAUGUGCCAGCAGCUGCGGUAAUACAUAGGUCGCGAGCGUUAUUCGGAUUUAUUGGGCGUAAAGCAAGCGCAGGCGGACGGACAAGUUUUGUGUUAAAAGCAGUUGCUCAACAAUUGUUUGCGCUGAAUACUGUCCGUCUAGAAUACGGUAGGAAGUUUUGGAAUUUAAUAUGGAGCGGUGGAAUGUGUAGAUAUAUUAAAGAACACCAGAGGCGAAGGCGAAAACUUAGGCCGUUAUUGACGCUUAGGCUUGAAAGUGUGGGGAGCAAAUGGGAUUAGAUACCCCAGUAGUCCACACCGUAAACGAUGGAUAUUAGAUGUUGGGACUUGCGUCUCAGCGUUGUAGCUUACGUGUUAAAUAUCCCGCCUGGGUAGUACAUAUGCAAAUAUGAAACUCAAAGGAAUUGACGGGGAUCUGAACAAGUGGUGGAACAUGUUGCUUAAUUCGAUAAUACACGAAAAACCUUACCAAGGUUUGACAUCCCCAGCAAAGCUAUAGAAAUAUAGUGGAGGUUAUCUGGGUGACAGGUGGUGCAUGGCUGUCGUCAGCUCGUGUCAUGAGAUGUUUGGUUAAGUCCCGCAACGAGCGCAACCCCACUCUUUAGUUGUUUUUCUAAAGAGACUGAACAGUAAUGUAUAGGAAGGUUGGGAUCACGUCAAGUCAUCAUGCCCCUUAUACCUUGGGCCGCAAACGUGUUACAAUGUUGAGUACAACGUGCUGCAAACCAGCGAUGGUAAGCAAAUCACUAAAAACUCAUCUCAGUCCGGAUAAAAGGCUGCAAUUCGCCUUUUUGAAGUUGGAAUCACUAGUAAUCCCGUGUCAGCUAUAUCGGGGUGAAUACGUUCCCAGGUCUUGUACACACCGCCCGUCAAACUAUGAGAGGGAGGGCCAUUCAAAAACGUAUUAAUUUGCGUCUAGAGUGAAUCUCCUGAUUGGAGUUAAGUCGUAACAAGGUACCCGUACGAGAACGUGCGGGUGGAUAAUCUUCUU